GGUGAGUAACACGUGGGGAAUCUGCCCAGAAGCAGGGGAUAACACUUGGAAACAGGUGCUAAUACCGUAUAACAACAAAAUCCGCAUGGAUUUUUGUUUGAAAGGUGGCUUCGGCUAUCACUUCUGGAUGAUCCCGCGGCGUAUUAGUUAGUUGGUGAGGUAAAGGCCCACCAAGACGAUGAUACGUAGCCGACCUGAGAGGGUAAUCGGCCACAUUGGGACUGAGACACGGCCCAAACUCCUACGGGAGGCAGCAGUAGGGAAUCUUCCACAAUGGACGAAAGUCUGAUGGAGCAAUGCCGCGUGAGUGAAGAAGGGUUUCGGCUCGUAAAACUCUGUUGUUAAAGAAGAACACCUUUGAGAGUAACUGUUCAAGGGUUGACGGUAUUUAACCAGAAAGCCACGGCUAACUACGUGCCAGCAGCCGCGGUAAUACGUAGGUGGCAAGCGUUGUCCGGAUUUAUUGGGCGUAAAGCGAGCGCAGGCGGUUUUUUAAGUCUGAUGUGAAAGCCUUCGGCUUAACCGGAGAAGUGCAUCGGAAACUGGGAGACUUGAGUGCAGAAGAGGACAGUGGAACUCCAUGUGUAGCGGUGGAAUGCGUAGAUAUAUGGAAGAACACCAGUGGCGAAAGCGGCUGUCUAGUCUGUAACUGACGCUGAGGCUCGAAAGCAUGGGUAGCGAACAGGAUUAGAUACCCUGGUAGUCCAUGCCGUAACGAUGAGUGCUAGUGUUGAGGGUUUCCGCCCUCAGUGCUGCAGCUACGC
This 764-nucleotide ribosomal RNA is filed under the name Levilactobacillus brevis. Its description in RNAcentral is "bacterial SSU rRNA". It matches the Rfam family "Bacterial small subunit ribosomal RNA", at positions 105 to 858 of the family's 1533-position model. The record is from RNAcentral. Lineage: Bacteria; Bacillati; Bacillota; Bacilli; Lactobacillales; Lactobacillaceae.